CCUACGGGAGGCAGCAGUAGGGAAUCUUCCACAAUGGGCGAAAGCUUGACGGAGCAACGCCGCGUGGGUGAAGAAGGUCUUCGGAUCGUAAAAUCCUGUUGUUAGAGAAGAAAGUGUGUGAGAGUAACUGUUCACGUUUCGACGGUAUCUAACUAGAAAGCCACGGCUAACUACGUGCCAGCAGCCGCGGUAAUACGUAGGUGGCAAGCGUUAUCCGGAUUUAUUGGGCGUAAAGGGAACGCAGGCGGUCUUUUAAGUCUGAUGUGAAAGCCUUCGGCUUAACCGGAGUAGUGCAUUGGAAACUGGUAAACUUGAGUGCAAAAGAGGAGAAUGGAACUCCAUGUGUAGCGGUGGAAUGCGUAGAUAUAUGGAAGAACACCAGUGGCGAAAGCGGCUCUCUGGUCUGAAACUGACGCUGAGGUUCGAAAGCGUGGGUAGCAAACAGGAUUAGAUACCCUGGUAGUC
RNAcentral lists this ribosomal RNA (465 nucleotides) under uncultured bacterium. RNAcentral describes it as "partial 16S ribosomal RNA". It matches the Rfam family "Bacterial small subunit ribosomal RNA", at positions 338 to 795 of the family's 1533-position model. The record is from RNAcentral.